AUGGGGUGCUACAACCGUUAUGGUUGGUGCUACAACCGUGGUCGGCGAUUGCUUCAACCUGCCACGGCACCGUCCAAGCGGCCAAGGGCGGUUACCCUCGCCGGAGCUCAACGAACAGAGCACUGUCCGAGUGGGUGCUACAACCGUUAUGGAGGGGUGCUACAACCGUGUUUGACGAUUGCUUCAACCGACCACGGCACAGACCCGGCAGCCAUGGGCAGUACCCUGCCAGAGCUCGACGAACAUGGCCACAACAACGACGGACAAGGUUGCAACCCACGACGGCGAGGCAGGGAACAACUACGGCGAGGAGCUUCAACGGUGAUGACGGCGAGUUGCGACGGCUACGGCGGCGGCGACGAGCUCCGUGAUGCAGUUAGAGCGGUGGCCAGGGGAGGACGAUCUGACGGGGGCGGGGGAGGAUGA
This 426-nucleotide ribosomal RNA is filed under the name Triticum aestivum (bread wheat). RNAcentral describes it as "partial small subunit ribosomal RNA". The record is from RNAcentral. Lineage: Eukaryota; Viridiplantae; Streptophyta; Magnoliopsida; Poales; Poaceae.